This 1138-nucleotide long non-coding RNA is filed under the name Gadus morhua (Atlantic cod). RNAcentral describes it as "lncRNA (ENSGMOG00000022859.1)". The record is from RNAcentral. Lineage: Eukaryota; Metazoa; Chordata; Actinopteri; Gadiformes; Gadidae.
CAUCUUACCUUAAUUUUUGUCUGGUAAUUUAUCUUCUUUGUAUGUUUUUUAAAGAGCUUUGCGACAUUCUUUGGAGAAGUGCUUCAGAAAGCACUUCUAAAGAUUGUUAAGAUUGUCUUCUAAAGAUCAUAAAUUAUACACAUCAAUGUAAAUGUAUUAGAAAGGGUUGGCUGUGUUGGGCGCACAUCAAACAUGACCUCAGCCGGUCGGCCCACACGGACAAUGUGGUCAAAUCAGCUCUCAAACGUCUCUUCUCUCUGAGCCGACUGAAGAAGAUUCCUCCACACUUUUUACAGGUGCGCCUCCGAUAGUAUCCUGACCAACCGCAUCACAGUGCAGUAAGGGAGAGGCACAGCCAAGGUCCUCAAGGUGUUACGCAGUGUUCCCAGGAGGACUGCGGAACACAUCAUUGGCAGGGAGCUCUCAGUCCAACAGGACACCUACCGCACAUGCUGCCUUAGGCAAGCUCGCAGGAUUAUCAAGGAAUCCCACCACCCAGCACGUGAACAUUUUAGUCUGCUGCCGUCUUGUCGUCAACACCGCAGCGUCCAGUACCCGCAGACUGAAGAACUUUAACCUCAACGCCAACCUGAAAACCCUGUCUAGUACGCCUCUCCCAGGUGCCGUGUGGAUGAGGGAUUCACAAGAAUACAUUUGUAUCCAUGAUAAAUGAACAUCCUUAUGGCGGGGGCUGACACAGUGGAUAAGAAGUAGAAGAACAUCAGAAAAGAACAUUGAUCUUUACAAUCAAAUAGAUUCACAUACAAUGGUCUCAAUCCAGCUACCUUGCUUCGACCUUGAACCUUGAAGGAUAGGCCUACUGAUGUUACUCACGUCUUGCACGUGUGUGUGUGCGUGUGUGUUUUUGUGUGUGCGUGAAGCUAACUUGUGUUGACGCUCCAUUACAUGAUGCUCAGCAGGGUGGCCUGUCGCUGCUCUUUGACGUCUUUUUGUUCUUUGCCCCUGUGGUAUAGAAGACGUUGUGAUCUAAAGCUCAUUUUCUCUACAGGAUGCCUAUUUACAUACUCUGUUUUGUGGUGUCGAAGAAUUGAAGACAAAGGAAAAUAGGAAAAGAAAGGCCUAAUCAAAUAUUUACAAAACGAAGAUGCUUUGGUUUUGAAGUCACUUUCACUUUGAA